GAUGAACGCUGGCGGCGUGCCUAAUACAUGCAAGUCGAACGAAACUUCUUUAUCACCGAGUGCUUGCACUCACCGAUAAAGAGUUGAGUGGCGAACGGGUGAGUAACACGUGGGCAACCUGCCCAAAAGAGGGGGAUAACACUUGGAAACAGGUGCUAAUACCGCAUAACCAUAGUUACCGCAUGGUAACUAUGUAAAAGGUGGCUAUACUACCGCUUUUGGAUGGGCCCGCGGCGCAUUAGCUAGUUGGUAGGGUAAAGGCUUACCAAGGCAAUGAUGCGUAGCCGAAGUGAGAGGUUGAUCGGCCACAUUGGGACUGAGACACGGCCCAAACUCCUGCGGGAGGCAGCAGUAGGGAAUCUUCCACAAAGGGCGAAAGCCUGACGGAGCAACGCCGCGUGGGUGAAGAAGGUCUUCGGAUCGUAAAACCCUGUUGUUAGAGAAGAAAGUGCGUGAGAGUAACUGUUCACGUUUCGACGGUAUCUAACCAGAAAGCCACGGCUAACUACGUG
Molecule: ribosomal RNA, 512 nt
Filed under: uncultured bacterium
Lineage: Bacteria
Description: partial 16S ribosomal RNA
Rfam family: Bacterial small subunit ribosomal RNA
Source: RNAcentral